This 341-nucleotide ribosomal RNA is filed under the name uncultured archaeon. RNAcentral's name for it is "partial 16S ribosomal RNA". It matches the Rfam family "Archaeal small subunit ribosomal RNA", at positions 133 to 475 of the family's 1478-position model. The record is from RNAcentral.
CGGGAAACUGGGGAUAAUCCCCGAUAGGUCUCGGCUGCUGGAAUGCAUCGAGAUUUAAAGCUCCGGCGCCUAAGGAUGGGUCUGCGGCCUAUCAGGUAGUAGUGGGUGUAGCGUACCUACUAGCCUACGACGGGUACGGGUUGUGAGAGCAAGAGCCCGGAGAUGGAUUCUGAGACACGAAUCCAGGCCCUACGGGGUGCAGCAGGCGCGAAAACUUUACAAUGCUGGCAACAGCGAUAAGGGAACCUCGAGUGCCAGGUUACAAAUCUGGCUGUCGAGAUGCCUAAAAAGCAUUUCAUAGCAAGGGCCGGGCAAGGCCGGUGCCAGCCGCCGCGGUAACA